This 505-nucleotide ribosomal RNA is filed under the name uncultured bacterium. RNAcentral's name for it is "partial 16S ribosomal RNA". It matches the Rfam family "Bacterial small subunit ribosomal RNA", at positions 28 to 507 of the family's 1533-position model. The record is from RNAcentral.
GACGAACGCUGGCGGCGUGCCUAAUACAUGCAAGUCGAACGCACAGUUUAUACCGUAGCUUGCUACACCAUACACUGUGAGUUGCGAACGGGUGAGUAACGCGUAGGUAACCUGCCUGGUAGCGGGGGAUAACUAUUGGAAACGAUAGCUAAUACCGCAUAAUAUUGAUUAUUGCAUGAUAAUUGAUUGAAAGAUGCUAUUGCAUCACUACCAGAUGGACCUGCGUUGUAUUAGCUAGUAGGUGAGGUAACGGCUCACCUAGGCGACGAUACAUAGCCGACCUGAGAGGGUGAUCGGCCACACUGGGACUGAGACACGGCCCAGACUCCUACGGGAGGCAGCAGUAGGGAAUCUUCGGCAAUGGACGAAAGUCUGACCGAGCAACGCCGCGUGAGUGAAGAAGGUUUUCGGAUCGUAAAGCUCUGUUGUAAGAGAAGAACGGGUGUGAGAGUGGAAAGUUCACACUGUGACGGUAUCUUACCAGAAAGGGACGGCUAACUACGUG